RNAcentral lists this transfer RNA (68 nucleotides) under Marmota monax (woodchuck). Its description in RNAcentral is "tRNA.Ala". Lineage: Eukaryota; Metazoa; Chordata; Mammalia; Rodentia; Sciuridae. The record is from RNAcentral.
GGAUAUAGCUCAGUUGGUAGAGUGCUUGCCUUGCAUGUACAACACCCUGGGUUCGAUCCCCAGGACCA